AAAUGAAUUGACGGGGACCCGCACAAGCAGCGGAGCAUGUGGUUUAAUUCGAAGAUACGCGAAGAACCUUACCAAGGCUUGACAUCCCUUGACAACCGUAGAAAUACGGCUUUCCCGAAAGGGACAAGGUGACAGGUGGUGCAUGGUUGUCGUCAGCUCGUGUCGUGAGAUGUUCGGUUAAGUCCGGCAACGAGCGCAACCCUUGUGAUAUGUUGCCCUUAUUCAGUUAGGCACUCAUAUCAGACUGCCGUGGAUAACACGGAGGAAGGCGGGGAUGACGUCAAAUCAUCAUGCCCCUUACGUCUUGGGCUACACACGUGCUACAAUGGGCACUACAAAGAGCAGCCAACUCGCAAGAGUGAGCGAAUCUCAAAAAAGUGCUCUCAGUUCAGAUUGUGGGCUGAAACCCGCCCGCAUGAAGCAGGAGUUGCUAGUAAUCCCGAAUCAGAAUGUCGGGGUGAAUGCGUUCCCGGGUCUUGUACACACCGCCCGU
This 493-nucleotide ribosomal RNA is filed under the name uncultured bacterium. RNAcentral's name for it is "bacterial SSU rRNA". It matches the Rfam family "Bacterial small subunit ribosomal RNA", at positions 903 to 1397 of the family's 1533-position model. The record is from RNAcentral.